GAUGAACGCUGGCGGCGUGCUUAACACAUGCAAGUCGAACGGAAAGGCCUCAGCUUGCUGGGGUACUCGAGUGGCGAACGGGUGAGUAACACGUGGGUGAUCUGCCCCGCACUUUGGGAUAAGCUUGGGAAACUGGGUCUAAUACCGAAUAUGACCACUUCUUGGAUGUUGUGGUGGAAAGCUUUUGCGGUGUGGGAUGAGCCUGCGGCCUAUCAGCUUGUUGGUGGGGUAAUGGCCUACCAAGGCGGCGACGGGUAUCCGGCCUGAGAGGGUGUACGGACACAUUGGGACUGAGAUACGGACCAGACUCCUACGGGAGGCAGCAGUGGGGAAUAUUGCACAAUGGGCGCAAGCCUGAUGCAGCGACGCCGCGUGGGGGAUGAAGGCCUUCGGGUUGUAAACUCCUUUCGCUAUCGACGAAGCCACUUGUGGUGACGGUAGGUAGAUAAGAAGCACCGGCUAACUACGUGCCAGCCGCCGCCGUAA
Molecule: ribosomal RNA, 486 nt
Filed under: uncultured bacterium
Lineage: Bacteria
Description: partial 16S ribosomal RNA
Rfam family: Bacterial small subunit ribosomal RNA
Source: RNAcentral